AUGCCCAAUCGCCGGCGGAAGCGCGAGCCCGACGACGGAGGGGGCGCCGCUGCCGCGGCCGGUGCUGGUGGCGCCGGCGCGGAUGAGAGCAAGAGGGAUCUUGAUUUGCGCAUCACCAACAUCCUGGCCGAGUACCACGCGCCCCGCCCCACACGCCGCGCGCUCCCCCUCCUCGAGCUCAACGGCCGGGUUCUUGCGGAGGAGGACGAGGAGGGGGAGGCCGAGGUCGUCUCCCCGCUCACGGCCCCGGCCCCGGCCCUUCCGGUCGUGGUCGUCGACGGGCGGCCGUCCAAGCGCCGGGUCGUCGCCGGCGGGGGAGGAGGAGGGGACGAGGCCUCGCCGUACCAGCGCCGGCUGUGGGUCAAGGACCGGUCCAGCGAGUGGUGGGAGCUGCGGAGCAGCCCGGGGUACCCGGAGGCGGAGUUCCUGCGGGAGUUCCGGAUGGGCCGCGCCACGUUCGGCAUGGUCUGCGACGCGCUCGGCGCCGCCGUCGCCAAGGAGGACACGGCGCUACGCGCCGCCAUCCCGGUGCGGCAGCGCGUGGCCGUCUGCGUCUGGCGCCUGGCCACCGGCGAGCCGCUCCGGCUCGUCUCCAAGCGCUUCGGCAUCGGCAUCUCCACCUGCCACAAGCUGGUCCUCGAGGUGUGCGCCGCCAUCCGCUCCAUCCUCAUGCCGCGCUUCCUCCGGUGGCCGGACCGCGGCUCCGCCGCCUCCGCCGCCGUGAAGGCCAGCUUCGAGGCCAGCUCCGGCGUGCCGGACGUGGUGGGCGCCAUGUACACCACCCACAUCCCCAUCAUCGCGCCCAAGGUGCACGUCGCCUCCUACUUCAACCGCCGGCACACGGAGCGCAACCAGAAGACGUCCUACUCCAUCACGCUGCAGGGGGUGGUCGGCCCCGACGCCACCUUCACCGACGUCUGCAUCGGCUGGCCGGGCUCGCUCGCCGACGACCAGGUGCUCGACAAGUCGGCGCUGCAGCAGCGCGCCGCGGCCGGGAUGAUGGAGGGGUCCUGGGUGGUCGGCGGCGCCAGCUACCCGCUCACCGACUGGUGCCUCGUCCCCUACACCCACCAGAACCUCACCUGGACGCAGCACGCCUUCAACGAGAAGGUCGCCCAGCUCCGGGACGUGGCCGUCGACGCCUUCUCGCGCCUCAAGAGCCGCUGGGCCUGCCUGCAGAAGCGCACCGAGGUGAAGCUCCAGGACCUGCCCGUGGUGCUCGGCGCCUGCUGCGUGCUCCACAACAUCUGCGAGGCCAGAGGGGAGGCCAUGCCGCCGGAGCUACGGGUGGAGGUGGAGGACGACCUGGCCGUGCUGGACAACCCCGUGCGCUCCGACGCCGCCGCCAAAGCCAGGGACAAGAUCGCGCACAACCUCCUCCACCGCGGCCUCGCCGGCACAGCCUUCUUCUAA
RNAcentral lists this ribosomal RNA (1413 nucleotides) under Triticum aestivum (bread wheat). RNAcentral's name for it is "partial small subunit ribosomal RNA". Lineage: Eukaryota; Viridiplantae; Streptophyta; Magnoliopsida; Poales; Poaceae. The record is from RNAcentral.